GGGGAAUAUUGCACAAUGGGGGAAACCCUGAUGCAGCAACGCCGCGUGAAUGAUGAAGGCCUUCGGGUCGUAAAGUUCUUUGAUUGGGGACGAUAAUGACGGUACCCAAAAAACAAGCCGCGGCUAACUACGUGCCAGCAGCCGCGGUAAUACGUAGGUGGCGAGCGUUGUCCGGAUUUACUGGGCGUAAAGGAUGCGUAGGUGGAAAUUUAAGUGGGAUGUGAAAUCCCCGGGCUCAACCCGGGAACUGCAUUCCAAACUGGAUUUCUAGAGUGCAGGAGAGGAAAGCGGAAUUCCUAGUGUAGCGGUGAAAUGCGUAGAUAUUAGGAAGAACACCAGUGGCGAAGGCGGCUUUCUGGACUGUAACUGACACUGAGGCAUGAAAGCGUGGGGAGCAAAC
This 400-nucleotide ribosomal RNA is filed under the name uncultured bacterium. Its description in RNAcentral is "bacterial SSU rRNA". It matches the Rfam family "Bacterial small subunit ribosomal RNA", at positions 356 to 773 of the family's 1533-position model. The record is from RNAcentral.